UACGUAGGGUGCAAGGGUUGUCCGGAAUUAUUGGGCGUAAAGAGCUCGUAGGCGGCUUGUAACGUCGGCUGUGAAAACCCGGGGCUCAACCCCGGGCCUGCAGUCGAUACGGGCAAGCUAGAGUUCGGCAGGGGAGACUGGAAUUCCUGGUGUAGCGGUGAAAUGCGCAGAUAUCAGGAGGAACACCGGUGGCGAAGGCGGGUCUCUGGGCCGAUACUGACGCUGAGGAGCGAAAGCGUGGGGAGCGAACAGG
Molecule: ribosomal RNA, 253 nt
Filed under: uncultured bacterium
Lineage: Bacteria
Description: partial 16S ribosomal RNA
Rfam family: Bacterial small subunit ribosomal RNA
Source: RNAcentral